This is a long non-coding RNA of Morone saxatilis (striped sea-bass), 404 nucleotides long. RefSeq lists it as uncharacterized. NCBI's taxonomy places the organism in Eukaryota, Metazoa, Chordata, Actinopteri, Moronidae. The transcript is spliced from 3 exons. The record is from RefSeq and is a predicted model, not a curated record.
CACAGUGCGCGGACAACAACAGAUACAAAGGUGAAGAGACCCAAGAGGAGGUUUUUUUUUUUUCCCCCUCCCUGCUCCCAACUCUUUACAGCCGGUUUUGGUACCUCUUACCCGGCCGUGACGGUUGUUUGUAUGCCGGUGACUGACCAGCGAGAGCGUUUAUUUAUCUUUAUUCCUCUCGACAACGCCGCGACAAGGUGGACAUUAAUAAAGGGUCACCCGAGAGCCUUCAGGCUGUCAUCUGCAGUUCACUGACUUCGACAAGACACCGGGAUCUCUGCUGUCUAUAAGUACAUAAGGCAGCACUCCACUUGUUCAGAUGUUGUCAAGGUGAUUUGGGAGUACAAGAGAUCCAGACACCUACAGUCAAAGGAGAGUCGUCUUUUUUUUUACAUCAAGGCCAG